CGCUUCUUGAACAAAUAUAAGAAGUCCAGCCUGCCCGGUGACAUAGUUUAACGGCCGCGGUACCCUAACCGUGCGAAGGUAGCAUAAUCACUUGUUCUUUAAAUAGGGACUAGUAUCAAUGGCAUUACGAGGGCUGCACUGUCUCCUUUCUCCAAUCAGUGAAACUGAUCUCCCCGUGAAAAAGCGGGGAUAUUAAUAUAAGACGAGAAGACCCCAUGGAGCUUUAAGCAACGAAUUUACUACACAUCAAAAAUACAACUAAUUCUAAAACCUAAAUUCUAGCUUUUGGUUGGGGGGACCGCGGAGUAUAACCCAACCUCCGCAACUAAUGGGCUUUGCCCUUAUCUGCGAACUACAACUCUAAGAAUCAAAAAAUUGACGUCUUUGACCCGAAAACUCGAUCAAUGGACCAAGUUACCCUGGGGAUAACAGCGCAAUCUACUUUAAGAGCCCCUAUCGACAAGUAGGUUUACGACCUCGAUGUUGGAUCAGGAUAUCCUGGUGGUGCAGCCGCUACUAAUGGUUCGUUUGUUCAACGAUUAAAACCCU
Molecule: ribosomal RNA, 549 nt
Filed under: Hylarana erythraea (green paddy frog)
Lineage: Eukaryota; Metazoa; Chordata; Amphibia; Anura; Ranidae
Description: partial 16S ribosomal RNA
Rfam family: Bacterial large subunit ribosomal RNA
Source: RNAcentral